AGAGUUUGAUCCUGGCUCAGAAUCAACGCUGGCGGCGUGCCUAACACAUGCAAGUCGAACGCGAAAGGGACUUCGGUCCUGAGUAGAGUGGCGAACGGGUGAGUAACGCGUGGGUGACCUACCCUCGAGUGGGGGAUAACGUUCCGAAAGGGACGCUAAUACCGCAUGACAUUCCUGGUUUGAAGACUGGGAAAUCAAAGCCGGGGACCGCAAGGCCUGGCGCUUGAGGAGGGGCCCGCGUCUGAUUAGCUAGUUGGCGGGGUAACGGCCCACCAAGGCGACGAUCAGUAGCCGGCCUGAGAGGGCGGACGGCCACACUGGGACUGAGACACGGCCCAGACUCCUACGGGAGGCAGCAGUGGGGAAUUGUUCGCAAUGGGCGCAAGCCUGACGACGCAACGCCGCGUGGAGGAUGAAGGUCCUCGGAUUGUAAACUCCUGUUGAUCGGGACGAAAAGCUCCAACCUAAUACGUUGGAGACUGACGGUACCGGUUGAGGAAGCCACGGCUAACUCUGUGCCAGCAGCCGCGGUAAUACAGAGGUGGCAAGCGUUGUUCGGAAUUACUGGGCGUAAAGGGCGCGUAGGCGGCCUUCUAAGUCGGACGUGAAAGCCCCAGGCUUAACCUGGGAACUGCGUCUGAUACUGGGAGGCUUGGAUUCGGGAGAGGGAUGUGGAAUUCCAGGUGUAGCGGUGAAAUGCGUAGAUAUCUGGAGGAACACCGGUGGCGAAGGCGGCAUCCUGGGACCGAGAUCGACGCUGAGGCGCGAAAGCUAGGGGAGCAAACGGGAUUAGAUACCCC
RNAcentral lists this ribosomal RNA (800 nucleotides) under uncultured bacterium. Its description in RNAcentral is "bacterial SSU rRNA". It matches the Rfam family "Bacterial small subunit ribosomal RNA", at positions 8 to 788 of the family's 1533-position model. The record is from RNAcentral.